This 460-nucleotide ribosomal RNA is filed under the name uncultured bacterium. Its description in RNAcentral is "partial 16S ribosomal RNA". It matches the Rfam family "Bacterial small subunit ribosomal RNA", at positions 338 to 795 of the family's 1533-position model. The record is from RNAcentral.
CCUACGGGGGGCAGCAGUGAGGAAUAUUGGUCAAUGGACGAGAGUCUGAACCAGCCAAGUAGCGUGAAGGAUGACUGCCCUAUGGGUUGUAAACUUCUUUUAUAUGGGAAUAAAACGUUCCACGUGUGGGAUUUUGUAGGUACCAUAUGAAUAAGGAUCGGCUAACUCCGUGCCAGCAGCCGCGGUAAUACGGAGGAUCCGAGCGUUAUCCGGCUUUAUUGGGUUUAAAGGGAGCGUAGGUGGAUUGUUAAGUCAGUUGUGAAAGUUUGCGGCUCAACCGUAAAAUUGCAGUUGAAACUGGCAGUCUUGAGUACAGUAGAGGUGGGCGGAAUUCGUGGUGUAGCGGUGAAAUGCUUAGAUAUCACGAAGAACUCCGAUUGCGAAGGCAGUUCACUGGACUGCAACUGACACUGAGGCUCGAAAGUGUGGGUAUCAAACAGGAUUAGAUACCCGUGUAGUC